GGAUUGAAGAUGACACCCUUGUAUGAAUUCCUUGGAAAAUCUGAAUUAAAUGAGUGACAACACUCUACUGUCUCCUCAUUGAAACUGAGGUCC
RNAcentral lists this small nucleolar RNA (93 nucleotides) under Phocoena sinus (vaquita). RNAcentral describes it as "Small nucleolar RNA SNORD116 (ENSPSNG00000008359.1)". It matches the Rfam family "Small nucleolar RNA SNORD116". From Rfam's summary of the family: HBII-85 is a member of the C/D class of snoRNAs, which contain the C (UGAUGA) and D (CUGA) box motifs. Lineage: Eukaryota; Metazoa; Chordata; Mammalia; Artiodactyla; Phocoenidae. The record is from Rfam by way of RNAcentral.